This 434-nucleotide ribosomal RNA is filed under the name uncultured bacterium. RNAcentral's name for it is "partial 16S ribosomal RNA". It matches the Rfam family "Bacterial small subunit ribosomal RNA", at positions 29 to 507 of the family's 1533-position model. The record is from RNAcentral.
AGCGAACGCUGGCGGCAGGCCUAACACAUGCAAGUCGAACGAACCUUUCGGGGUUAGUGGCGGACGGGUGAGUAACACGUGGGAACGUGCCUUUAGGUUCGGAAUAACUCAGGGAAACUUGUGCUAAUACCGAAUGUGCCCUUCGGGGGAAAGAUUAAUCGCCUUUAGAGCGGCCCGCGUCUGAUUAGCUAGUUGGUUGAGGUAAUGGCUCACCAAGGCGACGAUCAGUAGCUGGUCUGAGAGGAUGAUCAGCCACAUUGGGACUGAGACACGGCCCAAACUCCUAAGGGAGGCAGCAGUGGGGAAUCUUGCGCAAUGGGCGAAAGCCUGACGCAGCCAUGCCGCGUGAAUGAUGAAGGUCUUAGGAUUGUAAAAUUCUUUCACCGGGGACGAUAAUGACGGUACCCGGAGAAGAAGCCCCGGCUAACUUCGUG